UUUUAUAUUCUGCUUUAUUCCCAACAGUUUACAGGCACUUCAUAAGGGUGCAUGAAACACGACAGGAUGCUGAUCAUCUGGGGUUUCCUACCUUGACUCUGUUGACAUUGGGGGUCAAGUUGUUGCAGGUGGCUGUCCUGUACAUUGUAGGCUGCUUAGCAGCACCCCGGAGCUCUACCCACUAAAGACCAGGAGCACCCCCUCCUUCACUUGUGACGACCCAGAAUGUCUCCAGUUGCUAAAAGUAGGGAGGACCGAGAAUGAAAAUCACCCCUGGUUGAGACUCUCUGGUGUAUAUUUAGAAGUGGGUCCAAAAAAAAGGCCCCCAGGACCAAGGCUAAAAAUACCUACACCUAUCGAAGACGGACAAGUGUGACCGUUUCUAUUAGCUGCUUCUACAAGUAAAACCUGAACUACAUACAGUGAGGUGCCUCUUCACACCUCCUGGGCAGCUGUCCAGACACGCACACACUGAUGAGUGUUGGUCAGGAAAUGGGAAAAUUGCAACCCUCGUCCUUGCUGCCCGCGAUGUAAGUGGUGCAGCCGCUGUGGAAAAGUUUUGCCAGUUGCUCAGAAAAGCUAAACAUAUAAACAUAGACUUGCCAUAUGAUCUGGCAAUUCUCCUUCCAGAUAUAUAUUCAAAACAGAGGAAGAGGGAGUUCCCUUUGUGGCUCAGCAGUAAUAAACCUGACUAGUAUCUGCGAGGAUGCGGGUUUGAUCCCUGGCCUUGCUCAGUGGGUUAAGGAUCCAGUGUUGCCGGAGCUAUGGUGUAGGUUGCAGACGAGGCUCGGAUCCUGCGUUGCUGUGGCUGUGGUGUAGGUCAGUGGCUACAGCUCCGAUUGGACCCCUAGCCUGGGAACCCCCAUAUACCUAGGAAGUUAAAAAAGAAAAAAAAGAGGAAGGACAAGCUAGUGGAGUAGAAAACUUGAGCUCACCUCCUCCCACGAGAACAGCAAAAUCACAGCUAACUGCUGAAUAACCACCAAUACGAAAGACUGGAAUCUACCAAAACGGUAUAUAUCCAGAGAUAAGAAAUCGCAAAAAAGCGAUGGAAAGAUUCCCCCAAGACCGUGACCUUCAUACAAUUGAUUUCUCUUUUCCAAUGUGACCUUAGCACUCGUUCCUCUUGUCCCAAACCUAGUGACUGCUAAGCCAGCCCUCCCUGAAAGGCCCAACAAUACAUCUGGCAGAAGGAAAAAAACCAGGAAGCACCAUGACCUUGGGGAGGUGAGGCACUAGCUGGAAAAAGAUACCCAGGACUUGACCAAAACCAAGAACCGCUCCUCAAAAGACACAGAAAGAGAGGAGGAGGCAGCAGAGGCCAGCCCGGCCGCAGAACAGGACAAGAUGCCGAUGCACGUGUGCGCGCACGCCGGGCACCGACAUCUCGCGCGGAAAGAGAGGAAGAAGCCGGACUCCAGAUGCACACAAGCCCACAGGUGUGAGUGUCACCAGCAGCCAAAACCUAGGAAAGGCGGGAAAGGUCAGCAGCAUCAUGGCCUGUGGGGCGGCUGACGGGAGCCGGAAAGGUCCUGCUUGUUCUGCGGGUUGUUGUGCAGAUGAACGAGCGUAAAAACAUCAAACUAGAUGCUUAUAGUGGAUGUUGAGUUUAAAAUCAAAUUAAAAACAGCCCCCUCUCCCAAGAGCAAUGUGGGAGCCUGUGAAGGACCCGGGAACGGAGGACAGUCAUCGGGAAAGUGGUUGGGUCUGAACAGCUAGGGUUUGGUUAUUAGUAUCAACUUCUUAGUUGUGACAAAUACUUUCUGGUGAUAUAACGUGUUAAUAAUGGAGGAAGCAGGCAGGGCAUGUAAGGAACUCUGCACUAUCUUUGCGAGUUUUCUGGAAAUCUAAAAACCCUAAGAUAAAAAGUGCAACAGCAAACAAAGCGGGGACUCAAGCAAAUGUUUGUACCACAGUAAUAGCAGUAUUCACGGUAGCCAAAAGGUGGCAACAACAAAUGACAUCUGCGGGUGAACGGGUGAAAGAAGUGUGCUAUUUGCAUGCAAGAGGGUGUUAUUAUUCAACUACCAGAGGGAAUGAAAGGCUGAUGCUGGCGGCAAUACGGAUGCGCCUUGAAAAAUCCCAAGUGAAAUGAGCCAGAUACAACGUGUGGCUCCACCCAUUUGAAGUUCCUAGAAUAGCAGCUGUAUAGGCAGAUCUACAGGCGUUUCUGGGCGGAGAUCACGUCUAACCCAGACGUUCAUGGUGAAGUGUGGGCCAAGAGGAGUCGCUGCUCAGUGGACACAGCUUCUGUUGGGGAUGAUGAAAAACUCCUGCAAAGGGAUAGUGGUGAGACUUGGGCAACACUGAAUAUAUUUAAUGCUACCAAAUUGUACACUUAAAAAUGGCUGAAGUAGUUUUUUUUUUUAAAUAGCCGUAUUGGAGUUCUCAUUGUGGCGCAGCGAAAAGGAAUCCGACUAGGAACCAUGAGGUUGCGGGUUCAAUCCCUGGCCUCGCUCAGUGGGUUAAGGACCCAGCAUUGCUGUGAGCUGUGGUGUAGGUCACAGAUGUGGCUUGGAUCUGGCGUUGCUGUGGCUGUGGUGUAGGCCAGCAGCUGUAGCUCCAAUUUGACCCCUAGCCUGGGAACCUCCAUAUGCCGUGGGUGUGGCCCUCAAAAGACAAAAGAAAAAAAAAAUAGACAUAUUAAAGAGUUCCUCUUGUGGUGCAGCAGAAAUGAACCUGAUUAGGAGCCAUGAGGUUGUGGGUUCUAUCCCUGGCCUCGCUCAUGGGUUAAGGACCCAGCAUUGCCGUGAGCUGUGGUGUAGUCGCUGUGGCUCUGGCGUAGGCCGGCAGCUCCAGCUCCAAUUAGGCCCCUAGCCUGGGAACCUCCAUGUGCUGUGGGUGUGGCCCUAAAAAAAAGACAAAAAAAAAAGUUGAUGAAAUCACUGUACCUCAGUUUGUUCACUAUUAAAAUGGGAUAAACAACAUCUAUGAAACUGAAAUGUCAGUGGAAAACCCAGACUGUCAAAGCAGCCAGCCUCGCUCCAGGGCUCCCUGAUAGCCAGGUACCGCUUGGCAGCCAACAUCCACCAGGCGCUGGUGAGGAGGCGAAGAUGAACCAGACCGAUCCUGUCCUCACAUGUGGGAUAGGAGAAACGAAGGCACAGAAUGGCGCCACCGGGGUUCUGAGAGUCCAUCCACCUCGUGCCCGUUCCUUGCUCUCUGCCCAUCCCAAAGCCCACCCCGCCCAGGGCAGGGCCCGGGUCCCUGGGCCAAGUGUUCUGCAGUGACAUCCCACCCGAGGACUUGCUCUUACAUCCGCACUAAUGUCCUGUCUCUCGUGCACUCUAGAUUUUACCAAGGACGUCUAGAAAUGAAGCAGCAUAAACCAGUGUGUGGGAUUUCGGGCCCAGAGAACCUUUUUAUAUCCUCCUGAGUUGACUCUUUACCAAGUAGCUCCUACUGUGUCCACACCCCGUUGUCACCCAGGGCUGGCCACUUCUUCAGAGACUGCAAGGGGUCUUCCUUCUUGGGAGGCCGUCCCCAGGAACGGGAGCGAGCAGGGCCAGGUGGAAAGAAGCUGGUUGACUCUCAAGAUGCUGUUUCUGAUUUUUUUUUGUAAAG
Molecule: long non-coding RNA, 3564 nt
Filed under: Sus scrofa (pig)
Lineage: Eukaryota; Metazoa; Chordata; Mammalia; Artiodactyla; Suidae
Description: lncRNA (ENSSSCG00065074669.1)
Source: RNAcentral